RNAcentral lists this ribosomal RNA (281 nucleotides) under uncultured bacterium. Its description in RNAcentral is "partial 16S ribosomal RNA". It matches the Rfam family "Bacterial small subunit ribosomal RNA", at positions 333 to 611 of the family's 1533-position model. The record is from RNAcentral.
UUAGCCUACGGGACGCAGCAGUGAGGAAUAUUGGUCAAUGGGCUUACGCCUGAACCAGCCAAGUCGCGUGAGGGAAGACUGCCCUAUGGGUUGUAAACCUCUUUUGUCAGGGAGCAAUUGGCGCUACGUGUAGCGUUAUCGAGAGUACCUGAAGAAAAAGCAUCGGCUAACUCCGUGCCAGCGGCCGCGGUAAUACGGAGGAUGCGAGCGUUAUCCGGAUUUAUUGGGUUUAAAGGGUGAGUAGGCGGAAUGCCAAGUCAGCGGUAAAUUCGUGGGGCUCA